UGGGGAAUAUUGCGCAAUGGGGGAAACCCUGACGCAGCCAUGCCGCGUGAAUGAAGAAGGCCUUCGGGUUGUAAAGUUCUUUCGGUAUUGAGGAAGGUUGAUGUGUUAAUAGCACAUCAAAUUGACGUUAAAUACAGAAGAAGCACCGGCUAACUCCGUGCCAGCAGCCGCGGUAAUACGGAGGGUGCGAGCGUUAAUCGGAAUAACUGGGCGUAAAGGGCACGCAGGCGGUUAUUUAAGUGAGGUGUGAAAGCCCUGGGCUUAACCUGGGAAUUGCAUUUCAGACUGGGUAACUAGAGUACUUUAGGGAGGGGUAGAAUUCCACGUGUAGCGGUGAAAUGCGUAGAGAUGUGGAGGAAUACCGAAGGCGAAGGCAGCCCCCUGGGAAUGUACUGACGCUCAUGUGCGAAAGCGUGGGGAGCAAACAGGAUUAGAUACCCUGGUAGUCCACGCUGUAAACGCUGUCGAUUUGGGGGUUGGGGUUUAACUCUGGCGCCCGUAGCUAACGUGAUAAAUCGACCGCCUGGGGAGUACGGCCGCAAGGUUA
This 547-nucleotide ribosomal RNA is filed under the name uncultured bacterium. RNAcentral's name for it is "bacterial SSU rRNA". It matches the Rfam family "Bacterial small subunit ribosomal RNA", at positions 355 to 896 of the family's 1533-position model. The record is from RNAcentral.